Molecule: ribosomal RNA, 492 nt
Filed under: uncultured bacterium
Lineage: Bacteria
Description: partial 16S ribosomal RNA
Rfam family: Bacterial small subunit ribosomal RNA
Source: RNAcentral
AGUGAACGCUGGCGGUAGGCCUAACACAUGCCAGUCGAACGGCAGCACAGUAAGAGCUUGCUCUUACGGGUGGCGAGUGGCGGACGGGUGAGGAAUACAUCGGAAUCUACUUUUUCGUGGGGGAUAACGUAGGGAAACUUACGCUAAUACCGCAUACGGCCUACGGGUGAAAGCAGGGGAUCUUCGGACCUUGCGCGAUUGAAUGAGCCGAUGUCGGAUUAGCUAGUUGGCGGGGUAAAGGCCCACCAAGGCGACGAUCCGUAGCUGGUCUGAGAGGAUGAUCAGCCACACUGGAACUGAGACACGGUCCAGACUCCUACGGGAGGCAGCAGUGGGGAAUAUUGGACAAUGGGCGAAAGCCUGAUCCAGCCAUACCGCGUGAGUGAAGAAGGCCUUCGGGUUGUAAAGCCCUGUUGUUGGGAAAGAAAAGCAGCAGGUUAAUAACCCGCUGUUAUGACGGUACCCAAAGAAUAAGCACAGGCUAACUUCGUG